Molecule: non-coding RNA, 27 nt
Filed under: Rattus norvegicus (Norway rat)
Lineage: Eukaryota; Metazoa; Chordata; Mammalia; Rodentia; Muridae
Source: RNAcentral
AGCCCAUGACUUCUUGCUCAAGGUUGC